RNAcentral lists this long non-coding RNA (951 nucleotides) under Zonotrichia albicollis (white-throated sparrow). Its description in RNAcentral is "lncRNA (ENSZALG00000002064.1)". Lineage: Eukaryota; Metazoa; Chordata; Aves; Passeriformes; Passerellidae. The record is from RNAcentral.
AUGUCCUCGAUGGCUCUUUGGCACCGCACAGCCACCCCAUGGCUGGGGUGGGCACUGAGGUGGGCAGGACCACUAUCGAUAUACAACUUGAUGAUGUCUCGAACUGUCCCGAGCAGGUGAUCCUUGACCAGGCGGGCCUUGUCCUCCCACAGCUGCUCAGCCACGGCCACCUUGGCCACCAAGUCCUCAGGGACAGUGGGGGGUGCCUCAGUUGUCCCCUUCAGAGUGGUCUUGAUGUCCCUGAGCAGGCGCUGCAGCUCCCAGGGGAACGCAGUGGCUUCGUCACAUGCGGCCACCAAGCGCUCCAGCAGCCCCAGGGCCAUCUCCACCCGCUGUCUCUCCAUGGUGGCCCUUGUUGCCUCACUGGCAGCCACCCUGGCCUCUCUCCUCACCUGGGCUCCAUGCCCGGCCACCACCUCGCCCAGGGCCUGACCCAGCUCCACCAUGUUUUCCUGAGCUGUCCCAUCACAGGCAGCCUCUUCCUGCAGCUCCCUGGCCCAGGUGGUGGCUGUGGCCGCCCUGUCGGCCGCCUUGGUGGCCAAAUCCCUGCAGGUGCUGUGGAGCUCAGUGGCUGUCCUGGCCAGCUCAGCCCAGCUAUUCAUCAGCACAGACACCGACCCCUGCCACUCGCUGGCUGCCAUUGUCACAUGGUUCCGGGGGAUCCCUGGGGUGCUCUUGUAGGCAGCCAGGGCCCGGCUCAGGGAGGUGACAGGGUCAUCAUCAUCUGAUGUGACAUUGCCUCCAGGUGUCAUCAGUGCUGUAGAGGGUGUCCCAGAGGUUGCUGGUGAAAACUUCCAGAUACCCAUACAGGCACCCUGGGAACACGAGCAGAUUCAUCUCCUCGUCCUGCCUGGGCAGGGUGCCCAGCAGCUCACCCAGGAUGGCCACAACAGUGACCUCUGGCUGCAGCAGGGCCGGGGACAGCUGGAGAGGGGACAGGAGAGGAGUCAG